AUACGGAGGGAGCAAGCGUUAUUCGGAAUCACUGGGCGUAAAGGACGCGUAGGCGGGUUUGUAAGUCAGGUGUGAAAUCCUACAGCUCAACUGUAGAACUGCACUUGAAACUACAGACCUAGAGUAUGGAAGGGACAGAUGGAAUUAGUGGUGUAGGGGUAAAAUCCGUAGAUAUCACUAGGAAUACCGAAAGCGAAGGCGAUCUGCUGGGACAUUACUGACGCUGAGGCGUGAAAGCGUGGGGAGCAAACAGGAUUAGAAACCCCAGUAGUCC
Molecule: ribosomal RNA, 274 nt
Filed under: uncultured bacterium
Lineage: Bacteria
Description: partial 16S ribosomal RNA
Rfam family: Bacterial small subunit ribosomal RNA
Source: RNAcentral